Long non-coding RNA from Columba livia (rock pigeon), 701 nucleotides. RefSeq lists it as uncharacterized. The record is from RefSeq and is a predicted model, not a curated record. The transcript is spliced from 3 exons. NCBI's taxonomy places the organism in Eukaryota, Metazoa, Chordata, Aves, Columbiformes, Columbidae.
AUAAUGCAAAUUCUCUCUCAAGGCCUUAUGAAUGUAAAUUAAUGUAGGUACAUGAGGUAACUGGAAGCUUUAUGCUAAGUAGCGUUACUGAUGUGUAUAGAAAAGCAAACAACCAUUCAGACAUUUCAAGACACCCUUAUAUAGUUCAGCCACCCAUUUCACUGCAUUCCUCUCCACAGCAUUCGGUUGCUUUUCAUCAUCAGAGCCAUAGGAAGAUGAGUAGAUUUCAUAUCUCUAUUACUGCUGAAAACUCAAGAUCAGAAAACUGAGCUUAAUUAAAAAUAGCAUCAAUGAAACACAAAGCAUCCCUCAACCAAACAAACUGAAGCAACCCUUCCGCUGUUUUCUGAAGACAGAUUGUUUUCAAGAAUUAUGCAGAAUUUGCACGAAGCAUCAGAAGAGAUUUAGCACCAAGACAACAAAUAAAAGAUUUCCAGAAGUUUCAUAUUUUUCAUCUCUAGGUUUCUGCCCUUCUUUGAUUUCUGAAUAUCUGCUGAAAUUUAUAAAAGUAAAAUUUGAAACCAUUUAGUCUUGCUGCCUACGCUUCUUUUAGUUCACUCCCAGCUCUACUCCAUACAAAUUAAUGCUAUCAUAUGCAAAAGCAGCAUAGAAUUUUUCCUACACUUGUUUCCCUACUCAAAAUCUGUUUUGCUGGGGGUUUUUCCUCCCCAAGGAAAGAAAUCCAGUAGAACUACAUGUGC